RNAcentral lists this ribosomal RNA (253 nucleotides) under uncultured bacterium. RNAcentral's name for it is "partial 16S ribosomal RNA". It matches the Rfam family "Bacterial small subunit ribosomal RNA", at positions 524 to 776 of the family's 1533-position model. The record is from RNAcentral.
UACGUAGGGUCCGAGCGUUGUCCGGAAUUAUUGGGCGUAAAGAGCUCGUAGGCGGUCUGUCGCGUCGGCUGUGAAAACCUGGGGCUCAACUCCAGGCCUGCAGUCGAUACGGGCAGACUAGAGUUCGGUAGGGGAGACUGGAAUUCCUGGUGUAGCGGUGAAAUGCGCAGAUAUCAGGAGGAACACCGGUGGCGAAGGCGGGUCUCUGGGCCGAAACUGACGCUGAGGAGCGAAAGCGUGGGGAGCGGACAGG